Oryza meridionalis is the source of this 203-nucleotide non-coding RNA. Lineage: Eukaryota; Viridiplantae; Streptophyta; Magnoliopsida; Poales; Poaceae. The record is from Rfam.
AAUAAACGUAGUCAUAAUUUUUCGUGUCUAACUUUGAUCAUCCGUUUUAUUUAAAUUUUUUUAUGAUUAGUAUUUUUAUUAUUAUUAGAUUAUGAAACAUAAAUAGUACUUUAUGCGUGACUUAUGUUUUUAGUUUUUAUAAAAAAAAAUUAAAUAAGAUGAACGAUUAAAGUUGUACAUAAAAAUAGAUGGUCGUGCUUAUU